Seriola dumerili (greater amberjack) is the source of this 539-nucleotide long non-coding RNA. RefSeq lists it as uncharacterized. The transcript is spliced from 3 exons. The record is from RefSeq and is a predicted model, not a curated record. Lineage: Eukaryota; Metazoa; Chordata; Actinopteri; Carangiformes; Carangidae.
UGGGAGUAGCGGUCUUACAUGAAGCUUUGGAGGGUUUAGGACGGCUUUAGGAGUAUGAAGGGAGAAAUCUGCCCACUUGGUCUGGAGUAGAGGGAACGAGGGGAACAUGCAUUUCUCCGUUGUUGGAAUAGCAUCCGCCCUGGAACUUUCUGACAAGAGCAAAGUGUUCACCAGUGGACAUGGAGCAGUGUGGGGGGACUGUGAUUUACAGAUAGCACCGCGUCUCCUCUGCUGGCAGGCCAUCAUUACGACGAGCACGAGGAGAUGGGUGCUGUGGGAAAAAAGACCUUUUGGAAAAUGUCAGAGAGAAACAGUCAGAGCCCCAAAUUUCUUUCAUUCACUAUUUCCCCUGUGAUGUUUCCUCCUCUAAACUCCUUAAUUAUCAUUAUCAUUAUUAUUAUUAUUAUUACUAUUAUUCUGUUUUGUAUCUAAGUGCAGUGUCAGAUUUCAGAGCAUGUGGAUUUUAUUUUAUUUUUUGCUUAUGUGGUUUACCUGAAGAUCGAAUGUAACAAAAAAACACCAGCUCUGUAUUUCACCCA